GGGUAAACCCUACAGAAUAAAGUUGUUAACAGGGUAAACUCUACAGAAUAAAGUUGUUAACAGGGUAAACUCUACAGAAUAAGGUUGUUAACAGGGUAAACUCUACAGAAUAAAGUUGUUACCAGGGUAAACUCUACAGAAUAAAGUUGUUAACAGGGUAAACUCUACAGAAUAAAGUUGUUAACAGGGUAAACUCUACAGAAUAAAGUUGUUAACAGGGUAAACUCUACAGAAUAAGGUUGUUAACAGGGUAAACUCUACAGAAUAAAGAUGUUACCAGGGUAAACCCUACAGAAUAAAGUUGUUAACAGGGUAAACUCUACAGAAUAAAGUUGUUAACAGGGUAAACUCUACAGAAUAAGGUUAACAGGGUAAACUCUACAGAAUAAAGAUGUUACCAGGGUAAACUCUACAGAAUAAAGUUGUUAACAGGGUAAACUCUACAGAAUAAGGUUGUUAACAGGGUAAACUCUACAGAAUAAAGAUGUCUGAACACAGAACAUGUUAAUGGGUAAACUGCUGGUCAACAUUUUGACACAGCUGAAUCAACAACCAGUAGAAGCACAUCACACACCUUGUCUACGUCCCAAAUAGCAUCCUAUUCCUUGUUUCGUGCCCUACUUUAAUCUAGAGCCCUAUUCCCUGUAUUGUGCCCUACUUUAAUCUAGAGCCCUGAUCCCUGUAUCGUGCCCUACUUUCAUCUAGAGCCCUAUUCCCUGUAUCGUGCCCUACUUUCAACCAGAGCCCUAUUCCCUGUAUCGUGCCCUACUUUCAACCAGAGCCCUGAUCCCUGUUUCGUGCCCUACUUUCAACCAGAGCCCUAUUCCCUGUAUCGUGCCCUACUUUCAACCAGAGCCCUGGUAGUGGCCCUUAGGAUGAAUAGGAUGCCAUUUGGGACGUAGACCUUCGCCAGGUUUAUGAGGGGAAACCAACGCAUCCACACCUGCUAGGUAUGAACCCCGUGGGUGCGAACCACAGAAACACCCAGACACACAUCCCAGGACAUAUUCAUUAGGCGCACACACAGAGACACACACAGAAACACCCAGACACACACACACAAACACCCAGACACACACCCCAGGACAUAUUCAUUAGGCGCACACACAGACACACACACACACAGAAACACACACAGACACACA
This is a long non-coding RNA of Oncorhynchus tshawytscha (Chinook salmon), 1145 nucleotides long. The record is from Ensembl. NCBI's taxonomy places the organism in Eukaryota, Metazoa, Chordata, Actinopteri, Salmoniformes, Salmonidae.